AUUGAACGCUGGCGGCAGGCCUAACACAUGCAAGUCGAACGGUAACAGGAAGAAGCUUGCUUCUUUGCUGACGAGUGGCGGACGGGUGAGUAAUGUCUGGGAAACUGCCUGAUGGAGGGGGAUAACUACUGGAAACGGUAGCUAAUACCGCAUAACGUCGCAAGACCAAAGAGGGGGACCCUCGGGCCUCUUGCCAUCGGAUGUGCCCAGAUGGGAUUAGCUAGUAGGUGGGGUAACGGCUCACCUAGGCGACGAUCCCUAGCUGGUCUGAGAGGAUGACCAGCCACACUGGAACUGAGACACGGUCCAGACUCCUACGGGAGGCAGCAGUGGGGAAUAUUGCACAAUGGGCGCAAGCCUGAUGCAGCCAUGCCGCGUGUAUGAAGAAGGCCUUCGGGUUGUAAAGUACUUUCAGCGGGGAGGAAGGGGGUAAAGUUAAUACCUUUGCUCAUUGACGUUACCCGCAGAAGAAGCACCGGCUAACUCCGUG
Molecule: ribosomal RNA, 490 nt
Filed under: uncultured bacterium
Lineage: Bacteria
Description: partial 16S ribosomal RNA
Rfam family: Bacterial small subunit ribosomal RNA
Source: RNAcentral